RNAcentral lists this ribosomal RNA (469 nucleotides) under uncultured bacterium. RNAcentral describes it as "partial 16S ribosomal RNA". It matches the Rfam family "Bacterial small subunit ribosomal RNA", at positions 28 to 507 of the family's 1533-position model. The record is from RNAcentral.
GACGAACGCUGGCGGCGUGCUUAACACAUGCAAGUCGAACGGAAAGGCCCUGCUUGCAGGGUGCUCGAGUGGCGAACGGGUGAGUAACACGUGGGUGAUCUGCCCCUUACUUUGGGAUAAGCCUGGGAAACUGGGUCUAAUACUGGAUAGGACCAUGCUGUAGGUGGUGUGGUGGAAAGAUUAGUUUCGGUAAGGGAUGAGCUCGCGGCCUAUCAGCUUGUUGGUGGGGUAAUGGCCUACCAAGGCGUCGACGGGUAGCCGGCCUGAGAGGGUGGACGGCCACAUUGGGACUGAGAUACGGCCCGGACUCCUACGGGAGGCAGCAGAGGGGAAUAUUGCACAAUGGGCGGAAGCCUGAUGCAGCGACGCCGCGUGGAGGAUGACGGCCUUCGGGUUGUAAGCUCCUUUCAGCCAUGACGAAGCCCUUGUGGUGACGGUAGUGGUAGAAGAAGCACCGGCUAACUACGUG